AGAGUUUGAUCCUGGCUCAGGACGAACGCUGGCGGCGUGCUUAACACAUGCAAGUCGAGCGGAAAGGCCCUUUCGGGGGUACUCGAGCGGCGAACGGGUGAGUAACACGUGAGUAACCUGCCCUGGACUUUGGGAUAACCCUCGGAAACGGGGGCUAAUACCGGAUACGACAUUCCACCGCAUGGUGUGUUUGUGGAAAGUUUUUUCGGUCUGGGAUGGGCUCGCGGCCUAUCAGCUUGUUGGUGGGGUGAUGGCCUACCAAGGCGACGACGGGUAGCCGGCCUGAGAGGGCGACCGGCCACACUGGGACUGAGACACGGCCCAGACUCCUACGGGAGGCAGCAGUGGGGAAUAUUGCACAAUGGGCGGAAGCCUGAUGCAGCGACGCCGCGUGAGGGAUGACGGCCUUCGGGUUGUAAACCUCUUUCAGCAGGGACGAAGCGCAAGUGACGGUACCUGCAGAAGAAGCGCCGGCCAACUACGUGCCAGCAGCCGCGGUAAGACGUAGGGCGCGAGCGUUGUCCGGAUUUAUUGGGCGUAAAGAGCUCGUAGGCGGCUUGUCGCGUCGACUGUGAAAACCCGCGGCUCAACCGCGGGCCUGCAGCCGAUACGGGCAGGCUAGAGUUCGGUAGGGGAGACUGGAAUUCCUGGUGUAGCGGUGAAAUGCGCAGAUAUCAGGAGGAACACCGGUGGCGAAGGCGGGUCUCUGGGCCGAUACUGACGCUGAGGAGCGAAAGCGUGGGGAGCGAACAGGAUUAGAUACCCUAGUAGUCC
This 774-nucleotide ribosomal RNA is filed under the name uncultured bacterium. Its description in RNAcentral is "bacterial SSU rRNA". It matches the Rfam family "Bacterial small subunit ribosomal RNA", at positions 8 to 796 of the family's 1533-position model. The record is from RNAcentral.